This 251-nucleotide ribosomal RNA is filed under the name uncultured bacterium. RNAcentral's name for it is "partial 16S ribosomal RNA". It matches the Rfam family "Bacterial small subunit ribosomal RNA", at positions 88 to 339 of the family's 1533-position model. The record is from RNAcentral.
GUGGCGACCGGCGCACGGGUGAGUAACACGUGUGCAACCAACCCCGUACCGGGAGAUAACCCGCGGAAACGUGGACUAACAUCCCAUAAUACUGGAGGAUCGCAUGAUCUUUCAUUUAAAAUUCCGGUGGUACGGGACGGGCACGCGCGACAUUAGGUAGUUGGCGGGGUAAGGGCCCACCAAGCCGACGAUGUCUAGGGGUUCUGAGAGGAAGGUCCCCCACACUGGAACUGAGACACGGUCCAGACUCC